Non-coding RNA from Caenorhabditis elegans, 21 nucleotides. Lineage: Eukaryota; Metazoa; Nematoda; Chromadorea; Rhabditida; Rhabditidae. The record is from Ensembl.
UGUGUGUUCUUCUGGAAUUUU